AUUUAUUUUAAUUUAAUAGAUUGUACUUACUUAAUUAGAACAGUAAAUUCAGUAAGACACUGCAGACCUGAUCCUCGAAUUUCUGAUAUAGUAACCUGUACCGUAUCCUGUUUCAGUGGCUAUACUUUUGAUGACGAAACUACGGUUAAAGAUUUCAGGUGCAUUUACGACGGAAAUGAAUGGGUGGUCAAUGAAGAAAUAAUUCCGAAGAGAUGCAAACCAAUUAGUUAAUAUUUCUUUUAAAUUUUUAU
Molecule: long non-coding RNA, 251 nt
Organism: Centruroides sculpturatus (bark scorpion)
Lineage: Eukaryota; Metazoa; Arthropoda; Arachnida; Scorpiones; Buthidae
Exons: 2
Source: RefSeq, a predicted model, not a curated record